GCAGUCGAACGAACUCUGGUAUUGAUUGGUGCUUGCAUCAUGAUUUACAUUUGAGUGAGUGGCGAACUGGUGAGUAACACGUGGGAAACCUGCCCAGAAGCGGGGGAUAACACCUGGAAACAGAUGCUAAUACCGCAUAACAACUUGGACCGCAUGGUCCGAGCUUGAAAGAUGGCUUCGGCUAUCACUUUUGGAUGGUCCCGCGGCGUAUUAGCUAGAUGGUGGGGUAACGGCUCACCAUGGCAAUGAUACGUAGCCGACCUGAGAGGGUAAUCGGCCACAUUGGGACUGAGACACGGCCCAAACUCCUACGGGAGGCAGCAGUAGGGAAUCUUCCACAAUGGACGAAAGUCUGAUGGAGCAACGCCGCGUGAGUGAAGAAGGGUUUCGGCUCGUAAAACUCUGUUGUUAAAGAAGAACAUAUCUGAGAGUAACUGUUCAGGUAUUGACGGUAUUUAACCAGAAAGCCACGGCUAACUACGUGCCAGCAGCCGCGGUAAUACGUAGGUGGCAAGCGUUGUCCGGAUUUAUUGGGCGUAAAGCGAGCGCAGGCGGUUUUUUAAGUCUGAUGUGAAAGCCUUCGGCUCAACCGAAGAAGUGCAUCGGAAACUGGGAAACUUGAGUGCAGAAGAGGACAGUGGAACUCCAUGUGUAGCGGUGAAAUGCGUAGAUAUAUGGAAGAACACCAGUGGCGAAGGCGGCUGUCUGGUCUGUAACUGACGCUGAGGCUCGAAAGUAUGGGUAGCAAACAGGAUUAGAUACCCUGGUAGUCCAUACCGUAAACGAUGAAUGCUAAGUGUUGGAGGGUUUCCGCCCUUCAGUGCUGCAGCUAACGCAUUAAGCAUUCCGCCUGGGGAGUACGGCCGCAAGGCUGAAACUCAAAGGAAUUGACGGGGGCCCGCACAAGCGGUGGAGCAUGUGGUUUAAUUCGAAGCUACGCGAAGAACCUUACCAGGUCUUGACAUACUAUGCAAAUCUAAGAGAUUAGACGUUCCCUUCGGGGACAUGGAUACAGGUGGUGCAUGGUUGUCGUCAGCUCGUGUCGUGAGAUGUUGGGUUAAGUCCCGCAACGAGCGCAACCCUUAUUAUCAGUUGCCAGCAUUAAGUUGGGCACUCUGGUGAGACUGCCGGUGACAAACCGGAGGAAGGUGGGGAUGACGUCAAAUCAUCAUGCCCCUUAUGACCUGGGCUACACACGUGCUACAAUGGAUGGUACAACGAGUUGCGAACUCGCGAGAGUAAGCUAAUCUCUUAAAGCCAUUCUCAGUUCGGAUUGUAGGCUGCAACUCGCCUACAUGAAGUCGGAAUCGCUAGUAAUCGCGGAUCAGCAUGCCGCGGUGAAUACGUUCCCGGGCCUUGUACACACCGCCCGUCACACCAUGAGAGUUUGUAACACCCAAAGUCGGUGGGGUAACCUUUUA
RNAcentral lists this ribosomal RNA (1421 nucleotides) under Lactiplantibacillus plantarum. RNAcentral describes it as "bacterial SSU rRNA". It matches the Rfam family "Bacterial small subunit ribosomal RNA". The record is from RNAcentral. Lineage: Bacteria; Bacillati; Bacillota; Bacilli; Lactobacillales; Lactobacillaceae.